This 508-nucleotide ribosomal RNA is filed under the name uncultured bacterium. RNAcentral's name for it is "partial 16S ribosomal RNA". It matches the Rfam family "Bacterial small subunit ribosomal RNA", at positions 28 to 507 of the family's 1533-position model. The record is from RNAcentral.
GACGAACGCUGGCGGCGUGCCUAAUACAUGCAAGUCGAACGCUUCUUUCCUCCCGAGUGCUUGCACUCAAUUGGAAAGAGGAGUGGCGGACGGGUGAGUAACACGUGGGUAACCUACCCAUCAGAGGGGGAUAACACCUGGAAACAGGUGCUAAUACCGCAUAACAGUUUAUGCCGCAUGGCAUAAGAGUGAAAGGCGCUUUCGGGUGUCGUUGAUGGAUGGACCCGCGGUGCAUUAGCUAGUUGGUGAGGUAACGGCUCACCAAGGCCACGAUGCAUAGCCGACCUGAGAGGGUGAUCGGCCACACUGGGACUGAGACACGGCCCAGACUCCUACGGGAGGCAGCAGUAGGGAAUCUUCGGCAAUGGACGAAAGUCUGACCGAGCAACGCCGCGUGAGUGAAGAAGGUUUUCGGAUCGUAAAACUCUGUUGUUAGAGAAGAACAAGGACGUUAGUAACUGAACGUCCCCUGACGGUAUCUAACCAGAAAGCCACGGCUAACUACGUG